RNAcentral lists this small RNA (108 nucleotides) under Marmota monax (woodchuck). Lineage: Eukaryota; Metazoa; Chordata; Mammalia; Rodentia; Sciuridae. The record is from RNAcentral.
GCUAGGUAUGGUGGUGCACACCUGUAAUCCCAGAUCCUCGGGAGGCUGAGGCAGGAAAAAUCACAAGUUUGAGGCUAACAAGAGACCCUUAGAGGUACCCUGUCUCAA